This 440-nucleotide ribosomal RNA is filed under the name uncultured bacterium. RNAcentral describes it as "partial 16S ribosomal RNA". It matches the Rfam family "Bacterial small subunit ribosomal RNA", at positions 338 to 795 of the family's 1533-position model. The record is from RNAcentral.
CCUACGGGUGGCUGCAGUGGGGAAUAUUGCACAAUGGGGGAAACCCUGAUGCAGCGACGCCGCGUGAGUGAAGAAGUAUUUCGGUAUGUUAAGCUCUAUCAGCAGGGAAGAAAAUGACGGUAUCUGAUUAAGAAGCCCCGGCUCACUACGUUCCAGCAGCCGCGGUAAUACGUAGGGGGCAAGCGUUAUCCGGAUUUACUGGGUGUAAAGGGAGUGUAGACGGCAGCACAAGUCUGUAGUGAAAUGCCGGGGUUUAACCCCGGAAGUGCUUUGGAAACUGUGCAGCUAGAGUUGAGGAGAGGUAGGUGGAAUUCGUGGUGUAGCGGUGAAAUGCGUAGAUAUCAGGAAGAACACCAGUGGCGAAGGCAGCUUACUGGACUGUAACUGACGCUGAGGCUCGAAAGCGUGGGGAGCAAACAGGAUUAGAUACCCUUGUAGUC